GACGAACGCUGGCGGCGUGCUUAACACAUGCAAGUCGAACGAUGAAGCCAGCUUGCUGGUGGAUUAGUGGCGAACGGGUGAGUAACACGUGGGUGAUCUGCCCCAAACUUUGGGAUAAGCCUGGGAAACUGGGUCUAAUACCGAAUAUGACCGAUACUCGCAUGGGUGUUGGUGGAAAGCUCCGGCGGUUUGGGAUGGGCCCGCGGCCUAUCAGCUUGUUGGUGGGGUAAUGGCCUACCAAGGCGACGACGGGUAGCCGGCCUGAGAGGGCGACCGGCCACACUGGGACUGAGACACGGCCCAGACUCCUACGGGAGGCAGCAGUGGGGAAUAUUGCACAAUGGGCGCAAGCCUGAUGCAGCGACGCCGCGUGAGGGAUGACGGCCUUCGGGUUGUAAACCUCUUUCACCAGGGACGAAGCGAAAGUGACGGUACCUGGAGAAGAAGCACCGGCCAACUACGUGCCAGCAGCCGCGGUAAUACGUAGGGUGCGAGCGUUGUCCGGAAUUACUGGGCGUAAAGAGCUCGUAGGCGGUUUGUCGCGUCGUUCGUGAAAACUUGGGGCUUAACUCCAAGCGUGCGGGCGAUACGGGCAGACUUGAGUACUACAGGGGAGACUGGAAUUCCUGGUGUAGCGGUGAAAUGCGCAGAUAUCAGGAGGAACACCGGUGGCGAAGGCGGGUCUCUGGGUAGUAACUGACGCUGAGGAGCGAAAGCGUGGGUAGCGAACAGGAUUAGAUACCCUGGUAGUCCACGCCGUAAACGGUGGGUACUAGGUGUGGGUUCCUUUUCACGGGAUCCGUGCCGUAGCUAACGCAUUAAGUACCCCGCCUGGGGAGUACGGCCGCAAGGCUAAAACUCAAAGGAAUUGACGGGGGCCCGCACAAGCGGCGGAGCAUGUGGAUUAAUUCGAUGCAACGCGAAGAACCUUACCUGGGUUUGACAUACACCAGAAAGCCAUAGAGAUAUGGCCCCCCUUGUGGUUGGUGUACAGGUGGUGCAUGGCUGUCGUCAGCUCGUGUCGUAAGAUGUUGGGUUAAGUCCCGCAACGAGCGCAACCCUUGUCCUGUGUUGCCAGCACGUAAUGGUGGGGACUCGCUGGAGACUGCCGGGGUCAACUCGGAGGAAGGUGGGGAUGACGUCAAGUCAUCAUGCCCCUUAUGUCCAGGGCUUCACACAUGCUACAAUGGCCGGUACAGAGGGCUGCGAUACCGUGAGGUGGAGCGAAUCCCUUAAAGCCGGUCUCAGUUCGGAUCGGGGUCUGCAACUCGACCCCGUGAAGUCGGAGUCGCUAGUAAUCGCAGAUCAGCAACGCUGCGGUGAAUACGUUCCCGGGCCU
This 1339-nucleotide ribosomal RNA is filed under the name uncultured bacterium. RNAcentral's name for it is "bacterial SSU rRNA". It matches the Rfam family "Bacterial small subunit ribosomal RNA", at positions 28 to 1381 of the family's 1533-position model. The record is from RNAcentral.